AUGUCUCUCUCCAGGACAAUGUUAACCUCUUCCACGGUGGAGUGGGGCUAUGUGAUUUUGUGCUUAAUUUACCUAGCUGGUGGGCCUCCAGUAGAGGCUGAACCAGUCGAGCCAGCUGAUACCACAUCAAUUCUCCAAAGAAAAGAGCAAUGUGAUAGCUGGAUCUGUGGCAGCCACCUUGGCAUCAUGAGGAGAGCCAGCUCAAAAGCACAAGUUAACACCACAAUGAUGGCAGAGUAGGAGGAAGUGAGACUCUGGGGCCUCCACAACAUCAUUGAGCAACUACUGAUGAACCAAUUUUGGAACCACUCCAUCCUCAGACUUCUUACGUGAGAUAAUACAUUUCUAUAAUUGUUUAAGCCACUUUUGAUUGGGUCUUCAUUUUCUGCCACUGAAAGCAUCUUGACCCAGGAGGCAUGCCAUAAAUAUUUGUGAACUUAUGACUAAUGAAACCUGCCUUAAUUUAUGUCACAUCAGUGAACUAAAGCUCUAAGUGUUGAAGAGGAGAGGCAGAAAAUUCUGAUGGGAGAAAAUCCUGCUGUUCAUUAUUUAAGCAGUCAGGAAAACAAUGAUGUUUGUGUUGUUUUAUUUCUUUUUUUUUUUUCUUUUUUGUAGACGGAGUCUUGCUCUGUUGCCCAGGCUGGAGUGCAGUGGCGCAAUCUCGGCUCACUGCAAGCUCCGCCUCCCAUGUUCACGCCAUUCUCCUGCCUCAGCCUCCUGAGUAGCUGGGACUACAGGCGCUUGCCACCACGCCCGGCUAAUUUUUUGUAUUUUUAGUAGAGACGGGGUUUCACCGUGUAAGCCAGGAUGGUCUUGAUCUCCUGACCUCGUGAUCCACCCGCCUUGGCCUCCUGAAGUGCUGGGAUUACAGGCGUGAGCCACCACGCCCGGCCUGUUGUUUUAUUUCUUCACUUAGCUGGUAGGGUUGAUAAGUAAGGAGGUUCUAAACCUUGGGAAAAUCACAUUAAAAGAAAAAUUUUACUACAUUUUUUGGUCACUUUUUAGUUGAAUUAUAUAUUUAAAUUGGCCAGUGCUCAAAAUAUUGCCCUUGUGAAGGUGGCCC
This 1063-nucleotide long non-coding RNA is filed under the name Pan paniscus (pygmy chimpanzee). Its description in RNAcentral is "lncRNA (ENSPPAG00000045010.1)". The record is from RNAcentral. Lineage: Eukaryota; Metazoa; Chordata; Mammalia; Primates; Hominidae.